AUGUACACAAUGGCGAUCGAAAAAUACACACAUUUAAGGCAGUAUUUCUCGAGUUAAAUUUGAAUUGGAAACCUAGGAUUUCGCGAGAGAGCACCGUUGGUGGCAAUCUUCUACGCCAAAGUGCGCAUCUAUCAAGAGAUUAGCAGUUCGUUCAACGCAAGAUUAAGUCAAAGUUCCAAUCAAACAACCAAUGAAAAUGCUCAUCUUACAUCCAUGGACUCCGAAUCCAGCAAACACAUACAAAGCGCAAGACGAUGGCCAUUUAAAGAUAGCCAUCUUUCAGAAUCGCAGAGUUUUGAAGGCAUUUGAACUGAUGCUAGGAUCAUUCAUAAUGUGUUGGCUUGUUUGGUAUCUCGGAAUUUUUCUUUAUUUGAAAUUCUCGGAUAUUUCGAAACGCAUCCCAACUAUACAAACCACAUGCUACAGCUUUUGGUGUUUCUUCCACCACUAACUAAUCCAAUACUUUAUUCGUACUAUAAGCAAGAUUUCCGCGUCGCUUUGCGAUCUUUCCUGAAGAGAGCACGGAAAGGAGCCUGCUUUUAGGAUACUUUUCUUACUUGUUGUUAGUGAAACGAUGAAAAACAUGAGUAUAUUUUUUGUAAGUGUAUUACAAGUUGUAAAUGGCAGGGUGUAGCAUCAAAUUGUAACCAUUAGAAAGUUCUACAACAUAAAAUUUUAGUGUAGAGCUAGAGAACUUUCUUCUCUCUAUUGGUGAUAGCCUUUAAUAAGACUAAGGUUCGAAAGAAAGUUUGGGGGGAAAGGGAGCGCCCUUAUAUUAUAAAAUGUUAAUAUCUGCAUAUACUAAUAAUCGAGUUUUAUCGUAAUAGUGUUCUAAAACAUGAAUGGCAGUAUAAAUUUGUAUGUCUUCCGUUAUAUAUAGUGUCAAUCAAUAUGUUGUAUCUAUAAAUAUAGCUACAUUGUAACAAUUAAUUUAUAAUGUAUUAUUCAAUAUAAAUAUUUUCAUCAACCAA
Long non-coding RNA from Xenia sp. Carnegie-2017, 971 nucleotides. RefSeq lists it as uncharacterized. The record is from RefSeq and is a predicted model, not a curated record. The transcript is spliced from 2 exons. NCBI's taxonomy places the organism in Eukaryota, Metazoa, Cnidaria, Anthozoa, Malacalcyonacea, Xeniidae.